GAUGAACGCUGGCGGCGUGCCUAAUACAUGCAAGUCGAGCGAACAGACGAGGAGCUUGCUCCUCUGACGUUAGCGGCGGACGGGUGAGUAACACGUGGAUAACCUAUCUAUAAGACUGGGAUAACUUCGGGAAACCGGAGCUAAUACCGGAUAAUAUAUUGAACCGCAUGGUUCAAUAGUGAAAGACGGUUUUGCUGUCACUUAUAGAUGGAUCCGCGCCGCAUUAGCUAGUUGGUAAGGUAACGGCUUACCAAGGCAACGAUGCGUAGCCGACCUGAGAGGCUGAUCGGCCACACUGGAACUGAGACACGCUCCAGACUCCUACGGGAGGCAGCAGUAGGGAAUCGUCCGCAAUGGGCGAAAGCCUGACGGAGCAACGCCGCGUGAGUGAUGAAGUUCUUCUGAUCGUAAAACUCUGUUAUUAGGGAAGAACAAAUGUGUAAGUAACUAUGCACGUCUUGACGGUACCUAAUCAGAAAGCCACGGCUAACUACGUG
Molecule: ribosomal RNA, 497 nt
Filed under: uncultured bacterium
Lineage: Bacteria
Description: partial 16S ribosomal RNA
Rfam family: Bacterial small subunit ribosomal RNA
Source: RNAcentral